Molecule: ribosomal RNA, 245 nt
Filed under: uncultured bacterium
Lineage: Bacteria
Description: partial 16S ribosomal RNA
Rfam family: Bacterial small subunit ribosomal RNA
Source: RNAcentral
GACGGGGGGAGCAAGCGUUGUUCGGAUUUACUGGGCGUAAAGGGCGUCUAGGCGGAUUAGUAAGUCAGGUGUGAAAUCCUCCGGCUUAACUGGGGAACUGCACUUGAAACUACUGGUCUUGAGUUCGGAAGAGGAAAGCGGAAUUCCUGGUGUAGCGGUGAAAUGCGUAGAUAUCAGGAAGAACACCAGUGGCGAAGGCGGCUUUCUGGUUCGAUUCUGACGCUGAAGCGCGAAAGUGUGGGGAG